RNAcentral lists this ribosomal RNA (262 nucleotides) under uncultured archaeon. RNAcentral's name for it is "partial 16S ribosomal RNA". It matches the Rfam family "Archaeal small subunit ribosomal RNA", at positions 748 to 1009 of the family's 1478-position model. The record is from RNAcentral.
UAGGCGUAAAUAGAUGCGAGUUAAGUGUGGGGCGAUCUACGAGAUGGCCCUGUGCUGUAGGGUAGCCGUUAAACUCGCUGCCUGGGGAGUACGGUCGCAAGGCUGAAACUUAAAGGAAUUGGCGGGGGAGCACCACAAGAGGUGGAGGCUGCGGUUUAAUCGGACUCAACGCCGGGAAUCUCACCGGAUAAGACAGCUGAAUGAUAGUCGGGAUGAAGACUCUGCAUGACUAGCUGAGAGGAGGUGCAUGGCGUAGACGUCU